This 105-nucleotide small nuclear RNA is filed under the name Moschus moschiferus (Siberian musk deer). Lineage: Eukaryota; Metazoa; Chordata; Mammalia; Artiodactyla; Moschidae. The record is from RNAcentral.
GCUUGCUUUGGCAACACAUUUACUAAAAUUGGAACUAUACAGGGAAGAUUAGCAUGGCCCCUACACAAGGAUAACACACAAAUUUGUGAACUUUUCCAUAUAUUU